This 502-nucleotide ribosomal RNA is filed under the name uncultured bacterium. Its description in RNAcentral is "partial 16S ribosomal RNA". It matches the Rfam family "Bacterial small subunit ribosomal RNA", at positions 28 to 523 of the family's 1533-position model. The record is from RNAcentral.
GAUGAACGCUAGCGGCAGGCCUAACACAUGCAAGUCGAGGGGCAGCACAGAAACAGCAAUGUUUUGGUGGCGACCGGCGGACGGGUGCGUAACGCGUAUGCAACCUACCUUUAACAGGGGGAUAACGGAGAGAAAUUUCCACUAAUACCCCAUAACAUCGAUCAAGGCAUCUUGAUUGGUUGAAAACUCCGGUGGUUAAAGAUGGGCAUGCGUUGUAUUAGGUAGUUGGUGAGGUAAUGGCUCACCAAGCCUACGAUACAUAGGGGGACUGAGAGGUGAGCCCCCCACACUGGUACUGGGACAGGGACCAGACUCCUAGGGGAGGCAGCAGUGAGGAAUAUUGGUCAAUGGGGGCAACCCUUAACCAGCCAUGCCGCGUGCAGGAAGACGGCUCUAUGAGUUGUAAACUGCUUUUAAACAGGGAUAAAGCACAGUAUGUAUACUGUGUUGAAGGUACUGUAAGAAUAAGGAUCGGCUAACUCCGUGCCAGCCGCCGCGGUAA